Molecule: ribosomal RNA, 301 nt
Filed under: uncultured bacterium
Lineage: Bacteria
Description: partial 16S ribosomal RNA
Rfam family: Bacterial small subunit ribosomal RNA
Source: RNAcentral
CAGCAGCCGCGGUAAUACGGAGGGGGCUAGCGUUGUUCGGAAUUACUGGGCGUAAAGCGCACGUAGGCGGCUUUUUAAGUCAGAGGUGAAAGCCCGGAGCUCAACUCCGGAACUGCCUUUGAGACUGGAAGGCUUGAACGUCGGAGAGGUGAGUGGAAUUCCGAGUGUAGAGGUGAAAUUCGUAGAUAUUCGGAAGAACACCAGUGGCGAAGGCGGCUCACUGGACGACUGUUGACGCUGAGGUGCGAAAGCGUGGGGAGCAAACAGGAUUAGAUACCCCAGUAGUCCCUGUCUCUUAUAC